ACGCUCGACACCUACAGGCAGCAGUGAGGAAUAUUGGUCAAUGGACGCAAGUCUGAACCAGCCAUGCCGCGUGCAGGAUGACGGCUCUAUGAGUUGUAAACUGCUUUUGUACGAGGGUAAACGCAGAUACGUGUAUCUGUCUGAAAGUAUCGUACGAAUAAGGAUCGGCUAACUCCGUGUCAGCAGCCGCGGUAAUCUGAGCGGGCUGGCAAGGC
Molecule: ribosomal RNA, 215 nt
Filed under: uncultured bacterium
Lineage: Bacteria
Description: partial 16S ribosomal RNA
Rfam family: Bacterial small subunit ribosomal RNA
Source: RNAcentral